This 499-nucleotide ribosomal RNA is filed under the name uncultured bacterium. Its description in RNAcentral is "partial 16S ribosomal RNA". It matches the Rfam family "Bacterial small subunit ribosomal RNA", at positions 28 to 507 of the family's 1533-position model. The record is from RNAcentral.
GAUGAACGCUGGCGGCGUGCCUAAUACAUGCAAGUCGAGCGAACAGACGAGAGUGCUUGCACUCUCUGACGUUAGCGGCGGACGGGUGAGUAACACGUGGGUAACCUACCUAUAAGACUGGGAUAACUUCGGGAAACCGGAGCUAAUACCGGAUAAUAUUUAGCUUCGCAUGAAGCAAUAGUGAAAGACGGUUCUGCUGUCACUUAUAGAUGGACCCGCGGUGUAUUAGCUAGUUGGUGAGGUAACGGCUCACCAAGGCAACGAUACAUAGCCGACCUGAGAGGGUGAUCGGCCACACUGGGACUGAGACACGGCCCAGACUCCUACGGGAGGCAGCAGUAGGGAAUCUUCCGCAAUGGACGAAAGUCUGACGGAGCAAUGCCGCGUGAGUGAAGAAGGUUUUCGGAUCGUAAAGCUCUGUUGUAAGGGAAGAACAAGUACGUUAGUAACUGAACGUACCUUGACGGUACCUUACCAGAAAGCCACGGCUAACUACGUG